AUAUAUAUAUAUAUAUAUAUAUAUAUAUAUAUAUAUAUAUAUAUAUAUACAUAUAUGUAAUAUAAGUAAAUGGAUUCCCAUUGAUUUCUGUGGGGUUAUUCCAGUUGUUUAAUCAGUGAAACUACCUAUUCACUGAAUUAUGGUGUUAGUGGCUGAGUAUUCCACAGACAUUUGUCCCAUUAAUUUAAUCCUCAGACAAUUUAAGGGUUGCAUGACAUGUAGCAUGAUUGACCCCUUUUUUAGUUACCAGUCCAGUCCGGUCCAUUCAGUCCAUUUACCAAAGUUUCACACAUACAGUCUCCAUUAUGCCUAGUCAUUUUAUUCACAAGACUUGGGUUGAUUCGAGGCCCUGGAAGAAACUUGUGCUGCACGGUGGUAUUGAACCUGAAACUUCAUGAUUGAAAAACAAACUUUUUAAUCAGUGAACUAUGUACACAUAAAGAAAUCACACGUGUGUGACCACGGAAGUACACGUAUACACAUGCACUUGGAUGCACACAUACAGACCAGCAUACACUCACAAACAUGCCCACAAAUUUAUAUUGAGGUUGUAAUCCCCAUUUUUAAAGCCUUCUAUGGACAAUGCUUUUUCAUUCAUCUUGGCAUUCAUUCUAUGUGAUGUUAUAUAGGGCCGCAUCCAUAUGUGGUCAGCACCUAAGUAUUUUUAGAAUUCAUGGUCUCAGCCUCUAAUUACACAAAUAUGUAGGUACAGAAUGUAUGGGUGCCUCUGUGUGUGUGUGUGAAGUCAAAUCAAAUAAACAAAAUUAGCAAUAACAAACAACAAGAGAAGAAGCAUAAGAAAUGUAAUGGUUUGACUCUUGGUAAAAAGAGAGAGUUUUUGACAUUUCGAGCAUAGAUCUUCAUCAGAAAGGAAAAAGGGAAAGGUCCAAAGAAGGAAAA
Long non-coding RNA from Octopus sinensis (East Asian common octopus), 900 nucleotides. RefSeq lists it as uncharacterized. The transcript is spliced from 2 exons. NCBI's taxonomy places the organism in Eukaryota, Metazoa, Mollusca, Cephalopoda, Octopoda, Octopodidae. The record is from RefSeq and is a predicted model, not a curated record.